GAAUUCUUAGUGGCGAACGGGUGAGUAACGCGUAGGCACCUGCCCUUUAGACGGGGACAACAUUCCGAAAGGAGUGCUAAUACCGGAUGUGGCCGCAUGGCGAAAGAUGGCCUUCAAGAAGCUAUCGCUAAAGGAUGGGCCUGCGUCUGAUUAGCUAGUUGGUAGUGUAACGGACUACCAAGGCGAUGAUCAGUAGCCGGUCUGAGAGGAUGAACGGCCACAUUGGGACUGAGACACGGCCCAAACUCCUACGGGAGGCAGCAGUGGGGAAUCUUCCGCAAUGGACGAAAGUCUGACGGAGCAACGCCGCGUGAGUGAUGAAGGAUUUCGGUCUGUAAAGCUCUGUUGUUUAUGACGAAGUGCAGUGUGUGAACAAUGCAUUGCAAUGACGGUAGUAAACGAGGAAGCCACGGCUAACUACGUGCCAGCAGCCGCGGUAAUACGUAGGUGGCGAGCGUUGUCCGGAAUUAUUGGGCGUAAAGAGCAUGUAGGCGGCUUAAUAAGUCGAGCGUGAAAAUGCGGGGCUCAACCCCGUAUGGCGCUGGAAACUGUUAGGCUUGAGUGCAGGAGAGGAAAGGGGAAUUCCCAGUGUAGCGGUGAAAUGCGUAGAUAUUGGGAGG
Molecule: ribosomal RNA, 620 nt
Filed under: uncultured bacterium
Lineage: Bacteria
Description: bacterial SSU rRNA
Rfam family: Bacterial small subunit ribosomal RNA
Source: RNAcentral